RNAcentral lists this ribosomal RNA (253 nucleotides) under uncultured bacterium. RNAcentral describes it as "partial 16S ribosomal RNA". It matches the Rfam family "Bacterial small subunit ribosomal RNA", at positions 524 to 776 of the family's 1533-position model. The record is from RNAcentral.
UACGUAGGGGGCAAGCGUUAUCCGGAAUUACUGGGUGUAAAGGGAGAGUAGGCGGCAAGGUAAGCGAUAUGUGAAAGCCUUAGGCUUAGCCAAAGGAUUGCAUAACGAACUAUCUAGCUAGAGUACAGGAGAGGAAAGCGGAAUUCCUAGUGUAGCGGUGAAAUGCGUAGAUAUUAGGAAGAACACCAGUGGCGAAGGCGGCUUUCUGGACUGAAACUGACGCUGAGGCUCGAAAGCGUGGGGAGCGAACAGG